GCCGAGACUAGAGUCACAUCCCGACAUGGUGGUUGUCCUGGUGUGCUAGAGUUCUCGAAGAGAAUCUGCUGGUCUCGAUUCACUGGUAGGGGUCUUCAGUGUCCCUGUUAGUGCCCAGAUCAGAAACAUGU
Molecule: small nucleolar RNA, 131 nt
Organism: Microtus ochrogaster (prairie vole)
Lineage: Eukaryota; Metazoa; Chordata; Mammalia; Rodentia; Cricetidae
Product: predicted gene, 24888
Source: Ensembl